AUACGGAGGGUGCAAGCGUUACUCGGAAUCACUGGGCGUAAAGCGCGCGCAGGCGGCUAUUUAAGUUGGAUGUGAAAGCCUACGGCUCAACCGUAGAACUGCAUCCAAAACUAUUUAGCUAGAGUGUGGGAGAGGAAGAUGGAAUUAGUUGUGUAGGGGUAAAAUCCGUAGAGAUAACUAGGGAUACCAAAAGCGAAGGCAAUCUUCUGGAACACUACUGACGCUGAGGCGCGAAAGCGUGGGGAGCAAACAGGAUUAGAAACCCUAGUAGUCC
RNAcentral lists this ribosomal RNA (274 nucleotides) under uncultured bacterium. RNAcentral's name for it is "partial 16S ribosomal RNA". It matches the Rfam family "Bacterial small subunit ribosomal RNA", at positions 523 to 796 of the family's 1533-position model. The record is from RNAcentral.